AGAAACAAAGAAAUGCAUUGCCGGGUGGGCAAGCUUGAUGAAACUGUUUCCCAGAGUUCGUCUGAUAAAAAAAGUUCACCAACCAAGCCUGAUUCUAUAAAGAGAAGCAACAAUCAAAGUGAGCUCAAAGUGGGUGCCAGUAACAAAUAUCCUUAUUUUGAUCUUCUCCAAAAUGAUUGUUCUACUUCAGGAGGACGUUUUAGGCUCAUCUCAGAGAACCCACCACAGCCAAAGAGAUUCAGAUUGGAUAAACGUCCAGGCUCAUCGAACAUCAACUUUCAGCAGCCUAGCUCAUCGGUAUCUUCUUCUAUUGAGGAGGUUGAUCCAG
Molecule: unclassified non-coding RNA, 328 nt
Filed under: Hevea brasiliensis (rubber tree)
Lineage: Eukaryota; Viridiplantae; Streptophyta; Magnoliopsida; Malpighiales; Euphorbiaceae
Source: RNAcentral